AUUGGGAUGACGAUGUGGAUGAGGAGAAGGAGAAAGCCGGUGGUGGAGGUAGCGGCGGUAGUGAUAGAGAGCUAAAAGGGUACUCGAGAAGUGAAGUGACAGUUAUCGAUACGAGCUUUGAGGUGUGGAAGUUUGACAAGUUGGUGUUUAGGAGGAAGAAUAUAUGGAAAGUUCGAGACAAGAAAGGAAAGUCGUGGAGUGUUGGCACCAAGAAAAGGAAGGGAAAUCACUUAGAAUCUGGAAAUGGAGAUGUGGGUUCAAAGAAGAAAGCGAAAACUUCCCACUCCGAGUUCGGCUCAUCGAAGGACUCCAAUGGAGGGGACUUAUUAUUGCCGUCUAAUGAUGGUCAGAAGCCACNAGAAGUUUGUAAAGAUUCACUGGAUGAUCAUUUCCAAGUUCCUAAAAGAAGAUCACCCAAGAAACUGAAAAAGAAUGGCUCAUCUGUUGUUCUUAUAAAAGCUAUACCUACAAGCAAGAAGUGUGGGAGGAGCCUUCACAAGAAUCAUCUCAAUGACUUUCAGAGGCAAUACAAGGCUUAAUAAAUUACUUGUUAACAGAGUUUUCAUAUUGAAAGCAGAAGUAUGCAAUACUAUCCUUUUCCUGGUUACCAUUGCACUGGCUCUGGCAUUUUUUUUCUUUGGGGGUCUACAAUUUACCCAGAAGAGUAAAAAUUGGAGCGGAAAGCGCCACAAACUUAUCG
Molecule: unclassified non-coding RNA, 700 nt
Filed under: Hevea brasiliensis (rubber tree)
Lineage: Eukaryota; Viridiplantae; Streptophyta; Magnoliopsida; Malpighiales; Euphorbiaceae
Source: RNAcentral